GUGGGGAAUCUUCCGCAAUGGACGAAAGUCUGACGGAGCAACGCCGCGUGAGUGAAGAAGGUUUUCGGAUCGUAAAGCUCUUUCGUUAGGGACGAACGUGCUCUUUGUGAAUAAUGAGGAGUAAUGACGGUACCUAAAUAAGAAGCCACGGCUAACUACGUGCCAGCAGCCGCGGUAAUACGUAGGUGGCAAGCGUGGUCCGGAAUUAUUGGGCGUAAAGCGCGCGCAGGCGGGAUAUCAAGUCUGUCUUAAAAGUGCGAGGCUCAACCUCGUGAGGGGACAGAAACUGGUAUUCUUGAGUGUCGGAGAGGAAAGUGGAAUUCCAAGUGUAGCGGUGAAAUGCGUAGAGAUUUGGAAGAACACCAGUGGCGAAGGCGACUUUCUGGACGAUGUCUGACGCUGAGGCGCGAAAGCUAGGGGAGCGAACGGGAUUAGAAACCCUAGUAGUCC
This 450-nucleotide ribosomal RNA is filed under the name uncultured bacterium. RNAcentral describes it as "partial 16S ribosomal RNA". It matches the Rfam family "Bacterial small subunit ribosomal RNA", at positions 354 to 796 of the family's 1533-position model. The record is from RNAcentral.